UAGCCCAAACCGGCUUUGUUUCGGCAAAGUCGGGGUAAUAGGACUUCGACAAAAGUUUAAUGAUAGAUAUAGGAGAACCUACUGGAAAGUAUGGCCGAAGAGCAUGAAAGCUGCGUAUCCGACAUAUCGAACAAUAGACGACGGAGCACCUGAGUAGCGCGGGACACGAGACAUCCUGUGUGAAUUGGCGGGGCCCAUCCCGUAAGGCUAAAUACUCCCGAGAGACCGAUAGUGAACCAGUACCGUGAGGGAAAGGUGAAAAGAACCUCGAACAGAGGAGUGCAAUAGACCCUGAACCCGUCUGCCUACAAGCGGUAGGAGCGCCAUUAAGGUGUGACUGCGUGCCUUUUGCAUAAUGAACCUACGAGUUACUGUUUGUGGCAAGGUUAAUUGUUAUAAUCAAGACAAGGAGCCGAAGCGAAAGCGAGUCUUAAAAGGGCGCCCAUUUAGUCACGAGCAGUAGACGCGAAACCAAGUGAUCUACCCUUGGUCAGGUUGAAGGUUAGGUAACACUAACUGGAGGACCGAAUCGGUAAGCGUUGAAAAGCUUUCGAAUGAACUGAGGGUAGGGGUGAAAGGCUAAUCAAACUUGGAGAUAGCUCGUACUCCCCGAAAUGCAUUUAGGUGCAGCCUGUCGGAUGUUAUCAUGAGGUAGAGCGACUGAUUGGAUGCGAGGGUUUCACCGCCUAUCAAGUCCAGAUAAACUCCGAAUGCAUGAUAAUUGACCGAUGGAGUGAGGGCAUGGGUGCUAAGGUCCAUGUCCGAGAGGAGAAGAAUCCGGACCACCGGCUAAGGUCCCGAAAUAAUUGCUAAGUUGUAAAAACGAAGUCAAGAUGCAGAGACAGCUAGGAUGUUGGCUUGGAAGCAGCCAUUCAUUUAAAGAGUGCGUAACAGCUCACUAGUCGAGGAUUUUGGCAUGGAUAAUACACGGGCAUAAGCAAUUUACCGAAGCCGUGGGAUAUAGUAAAAUAUCGGUAGGGGAGCAUUCCAGCGACGUAGAAGGGAAAAGGGCGACUUUUUCUGGAGUUUCUGGAAAAGCAAAUGUAGGUAUAAGUAACGAUAAAGGGGGCGAGAACCCCCCUCGCCGAAAGACCAAGGAUUCCUGAUCAACGCUAAUCGGAUCAGGGUUAGUCGGGGCCUAAGGAUAAGCCGAUAGGCGAUUCCGAUGGACGAACCGGUUAAUAUUCCGGUACUGAUACAGAGAGCGAUGUGGUGACGGAGAAGUGACAGUCCGGCCGUCUGACGGAAUAGGCGGUUAAAGGGUGUAGAUGUUGAUCGGGGUAGGCAAAUCCGCCCUGAGAGUCGAACCUGACAGUACCCGGAGUACAAGUACGAAGGGAUAAGGACGUAAACCGGCUCCCAAGAAAACCCGCUAAGCAUAUUUCUGUGUUACCCGUACCGUAAACCGACACAGGUGGUUGGGUUGAGUAUACUAAGGCGCUCGAGAGAUUCGCGGUUAAGGAACUAGGCAAAAUGGUCCUGUAACUUCGGGAGAAAGGACGCCUGUCUCCGGACAGGCCGCAGAAACCAGGCCCAGGCGACUGUUUAACAAAAACACAAGGCUAUGCAAAAAAGCAAUUUGAGGUAUAUAGUCUGACACCUGCCCGGUGCUGGAAGGUUAAGAGGAGGAGUCAUCGUCAAGAGAAGCUCUGAAUUGAAGCCCCAGUAAACGGCGGCCGUAACUAUAACGGUCCUAAGGUAGCGAAAUUCCUUGUCGGGUAAGUUCCGACCUGCACGAAUGGUGUAACGAUCUGGGCACUGUCUCAACCGCGAUCUCGGUGAAAUUGUAGUAUCGGUGAAGAUGCCGAUUACCCGC
RNAcentral lists this ribosomal RNA (1816 nucleotides) under metagenome. RNAcentral's name for it is "bacterial LSU rRNA". It matches the Rfam family "Bacterial large subunit ribosomal RNA", at positions 264 to 2073 of the family's 2925-position model. The record is from RNAcentral.